Molecule: long non-coding RNA, 657 nt
Organism: Brienomyrus brachyistius
Lineage: Eukaryota; Metazoa; Chordata; Actinopteri; Osteoglossiformes; Mormyridae
Exons: 3
Source: RefSeq, a predicted model, not a curated record
CAUUGAUAAACAAGUUCAAGCUGACUUUUUGCACUUCAGUCCAUGUCUGCACCACAAAAAGCGCGACCAGGCUUAACACAUUAGUGAAAAGAGAGGGUCCAGGCUCAAGAUGGAGGCAGGGAUGGGAGGAAUAAUUCAUCGUCAAAUUAAGCAGAUAAUGACCCUAAGCACACCCCAAGGUUAUGUAGUAAGUAUUAUUUUGUGAACAAGGAAAGAAAUUGUGCUGAAACAGAUGACCAGGCCCCCCACAGUCCCACGACCGAAACCCUAUAGAGCUGGUUUGGGCUGAGCUGGAUUGAAGGCAGUCAACUUGUUACCAGACCUUGUGGAAACUCCUUCUGGACUGUAGGAUAAGGUGGCUACAUCGGGAAGCUGGUUGAAGGGAUGCCAAGAGACUGAAACGCUGUCAUCGAAGCAAAAGGGGACUAUGUUGAAGAGUCUAAAAUUUGAGAAAGUUUUAAGGUGUUGAACACUUCUCUUACUCCUUGCAAUAUUUGAUAUGUAUUACUUCAUUGCCUCAAGGCCUUUAUUAUAUGGUGAAUAGCAAAGCUGAAAUAGAGACAAAUGCAUUAAAAGUAGCUGUGUAUAGACUUUUGACUGGUACUGAAUCUUGACAGACCAAUUUGUGGCUUAAUGCCAGCCAGUACUCAGUACUUA